Molecule: unclassified non-coding RNA, 253 nt
Filed under: uncultured Halomonadaceae bacterium
Lineage: Bacteria; Pseudomonadati; Pseudomonadota; Gammaproteobacteria; Oceanospirillales; Halomonadaceae
Description: contains 16S-23S intergenic spacer region
Rfam family: Bacterial small subunit ribosomal RNA
Source: RNAcentral
CACGUAGGAUCCAAGCGUUAAUCGGAAUUACUGGGCGUAAAGCGCGCGUAGGUGGCUCGAUAAGCCGGUUGUGAAAGCCCCGGGCUCAACCUGGGAACGGCAUCCGGAACUGUCAAGCUAGAGUGCAGGAGAGGAAGGUAGAAUUCCCGGUGUAGCGGUGAAAUGCGUAGAGAUCGGGAGGAAUACCAGUGGCGAAGGCGGCCUUCUGGACUGACACUGACACUGAGGUGCGAAAGCGUGGGCAGCAAACAGG